AUUGAACGCUGGCGGCAGGCCUAACACAUGCAAGUCGAGCGAGUGGCGGACGGGUGAGUAAUGUCUGGGGAUCUGCCUGAUAGAGGGGGAUAACUACUGGAAACGGUGGCUAAUACCGCAUACUAUCUGAUGAACCCAUAUGGGAUUAGCUAGUAGGUGGGGUAAAGGCUCACCUAGGCGACGAUCUCUAGCUGGUCUGAGAGGAUGACCAGCAACACUGGGACUGAGACACGGCCCAGACUCCUACGUGAGGCAGCAGUGGGGAAUAUUGCACAAUGGGCGAAAGCCUGAUGCAGCCAUGCCGCGUGUAUGAAGAAGGCCUUAGGGUUGUAAAGUACUUUCAGCGGGGAGGCGUUACCCGCAGAAGAAGCACCGGCUAACGCCGUGCCAGCAGCCGCGGUAAUUC
RNAcentral lists this ribosomal RNA (406 nucleotides) under uncultured bacterium. Its description in RNAcentral is "partial 16S ribosomal RNA". It matches the Rfam family "Bacterial small subunit ribosomal RNA", at positions 30 to 526 of the family's 1533-position model. The record is from RNAcentral.